UACGGAGGGUGCAAGCGUUAUCCGGAUUCACUGGGUUUAAAGGGUGCGUAGGCGGAUAGGUAAGUCCGUGGUGAAAUCCUGCAGCUUAACUGCAGAACUGCCAUGGAUACUAUUUAUCUUGAAUAUCGUGGAGGUUAGCGGAAUAUGUCAUGUAGCGGUGAAAUGCUUAGAUAUGACAUAGAACACCCAUUGCGAAGGCAGCUAAACUACGCGAUAAUUGACGCUGAUGCACGAAAGCGUGGGGAUCAAACAGG
This 254-nucleotide ribosomal RNA is filed under the name uncultured bacterium. RNAcentral's name for it is "partial 16S ribosomal RNA". It matches the Rfam family "Bacterial small subunit ribosomal RNA", at positions 524 to 776 of the family's 1533-position model. The record is from RNAcentral.